UGUCUCCCUCUCCAUCUCUUCACUUAUAUUCUUCUGCCACCAUCUUGCUAAUUUUUAUUAAGUAACAGCUAUGAAUCAGAAAUGAGGCCUGGCAGUCAGAAAAUAUGGAUUCUAGUGCCGUGAGAGGUUCAAGGAAUGUUGCGGGAGUACCCAAGACCUUCAUGAUUAAGAUGUGUUCUCAGGGGAGCUGGGAGUUGACUGCAAGUAUUACAGCUCUCAAGGGACUUGCAUCUGCCUCUCCAGAAUGACACAGAGCAAACUGCAGAGCUGGACUGAGAAAAGCAUGCCUGGCAGCAACUGGCCAGUUAGCGCGGCAGACAAAAGUGGUUAGGACAAGGAUGAAGGCAGGAUCAGAGAGCUGCAAGCACAGUCACUUGAUUUUGACAGCAGCUCAAACUUCUGGGACUCCAGAAAGGAAAUAGACAUUUGGAAAGAGAUAUGACGAAAGGCUUUUCCCGUCAACUGCUCAGCAUGUGGUACUGACUUUUG
Long non-coding RNA from Talpa occidentalis (Iberian mole), 489 nucleotides. RefSeq lists it as uncharacterized. The transcript is spliced from 3 exons. The record is from RefSeq and is a predicted model, not a curated record. NCBI's taxonomy places the organism in Eukaryota, Metazoa, Chordata, Mammalia, Eulipotyphla, Talpidae.